UGAACUCAGGAUUUGCUGGCUCUUGUAACUUCUGUGCGUUUUUUUUUCAGGCCGUGCUGAGUCAAACGUCAAAGUUCCUCCUGAUUGUAAUAACUUUGCAUAUGUGUAUAUAUUUAAUAUACACUCGUGUAUUUUAUUUUUGUGCAUAUAGGCUAUGUGUGUGUAUACAGCUAGAAAAAAAAGAAAACGUGACUGUGUAUACGCACGUGUCGUUUCUUACCGGCUCCUAAAAUACAGGUGUCUCUGUGGGAAACCAGUUCUGAAGCUGUUUAUUGUACGAUAGUUCAGGAAGUUGAGAGUAUUGUGUUCUCUUCCAUGAUUUCCCAUGCUGGGUAGCUCGUUUCACCUCAAAAAUUAGCAUCUCAGCCUGUUUCACAGAAGACCCCAAUAUUUAUAGUAAUCAUAGGAAAGAAUGUUGUCCGCUGGGACGGAGCAGGAGGCUGUGGAUCAGGACUCAGGGUUUGGUUGUCUUUUUCUACUCAUUUUAUGGCCUGGGACUGUUCUUAUCACUCUUCUGUGCCUCUGUUUAAUAGCAAAAUGGGACCAGUAACAUUGAGUUACCUUGCGUAGAACUACUAAAAGAUGAAAUUGAAGUUUGGAGACCUUUUAGUCGCCUUUGGCAUCAGAGAAACAGAGCAGUUAUGAGAUGUGUUCCUGUGGUUUGGCUUUAUUAAUAAUAUGAACUCCUUCAGAAAUUGUACUAAUGAAAUGAAGCUGGGAAACAAACCAGAAGCAGAUAAAGACAGAAGCUGAAACCCUUCAUGAGCCGUUAGACAAUGUACUAAGAAGGGAUGGCUAUAUUCUUGCAUUGUUUCUUGUAAAAAUUCUGAAAUGCAUACAGAAAAUAGAUUUCUCUAUGGAACAAAAAUUAGCAGAACGCUGACAUUCCAAUAUUUUUUUAAAGCAAGACAGAUCUGGAAAGAAAUAUACUGGGAAUUACGAAAAUGUUUCAAAAUGAAAAGUUGAAAGUAAAGUUGAACAAAACCUCUUGGCUCAGAAAUGGCUCUCGGGUUCCUUGACUCCUUCUCCGCCAGCUAUGCCGGACUGCUGGUGCAUGGCAGCCUGAAAGCCCUGAGGUCCAAGCUGUGAGCCAGAAACAGAUAUAUCAUAAGCAGGAUUGGUGUGGAAGCAGACCUGUGAACACAAGUGUUCCUCUGCUUGAGCUCCAGCUUUGUCUCCUUUGCCAGCGCUGCUGCGUAUGGCUGUUGAGGCUGUCCAGCAUGUCUCAGUAUUGCUAUGAGACGAAUGAUAGCAGAAGAUGUCUGAGCACCCUGCAUCCCUGGGAAAGGCACAGAGGUUGUGCCUGCUGCAGGUUGGACGUGAAGAAGUGCACAUCCCUCUUUUUUUGCCUUCUUGCUGCAGACUCAUUCAACAAGGCCAUUCAGGACUGAAUUCAUUUCCAGGUCCAUCCUUUUUUGAAGAAACCAUCCCCAUGGAUGUCAGAAAUAUGAAUGAAUUCAGAUCUCCGUUUGGCAGCUGGAUGAGAAGGGAAUGCCACCGCAAAGGAGGGAUCGCUGAGGCGAGGCUGAAGUUGUAUUCAAAGGCAGCAGCAGUGCUGUGCAUUGCACAUGUCGUAGAAUCACCGCUGUGAUCAGUCAGCCCCUUCCCUGGAGGGACUCUGAGUUCUGACUGCAUUUGGGGAAGUCAAGACCUGAGCAGAUCCUUUUUUAUUUCUAUUCAUUCUCAGGAAAGCGCUCCUCGACGAGUUGGGCCUAGCAAUAUGGCAGCGCACGUUCGAUAAGAAAUCCCGUCCAGUGCUGCUACGAGGACCAUGUGCUCCCUGACCCAUUGCCUCGACUGCACACGCUGCAGGGCGAGGGCUUUUGGAAAGCUGAGGGCUCUCGAGUUGCACGUGGGCUCCUACCUAAAAGCUUUCCUGGUUUUGCAAAGAUGCUGAACCCUUGCACCUCCCAUUCUUGGUCUGAAUUUUGGGCGCUGAGAGCUGUGGAAAAGCUGGAUGCUUUAAAGGAAGAAAUGCUGUCAGAUAGCAGAGAGUUGGAGCUGGGGGAAUUUUCUGGAUCGGUUCGUAAAGCGAAGGGAUUCUUUCUCUUUAAAAAUAGAAUGACAAUAGCACCCCGGCCCAGUAAUGACUUCUCUGAAAGUUAAAACAACUCUUAGGCAGUUGCUCUGUCUGCUUUCACCAGGCUGCCAGCAUGGAAACAAGACCACUCCUUGCGGGAUGGGGGUAUGUGUUUAUUGCACUGCAGUCUGCGCACAAAAACCGCUCUUUCUUAAUUCGCUGCCCCGUUAGCGAUGGCCAUGACUUCUUCAGUGCUGUGUAACCAUCAGCGAUUCUGUCCAGGGAAGUAGUUAGGAGAGAAAAACCCGCCGAUCUCCUGCUUCGUUUUAUUUGUUUUAAAAUUGGCUUUGUUUUACUGAGGUUUUGAAGGAAACUGUAGCAACAGCGCUGAUGUUUUAGCAAAGCCACGAGGCGGCUCUUCCCCCCCCUGCCCCCCCCCCCCAAAAAGAAGCGGUGUUAAGGUGCAGAGGGGCACGAAGGCUGCUGCCUACUAACAGCUCUGACAUUUCAUUUGCAGAAAUGGUUUUCCUCUUAAAAAAAACAAAAACAAAAACAGAAACAAAACGCACAACAAAAACAACAAACCAAACCCAAAAGCCAAAGCUAGCAAAUUGCAGAAGAGACCCAUGCCUGUUGCCACAAACCCGUAGAUCCGAACUUGUGGUCAUAUUCCACACAAGCUUGUAUCUAUAGGUAUGUGUCUGUCUGGCGAGUGCACAAAGUGUUGUGUUUCUGCGUUUACACUGACAAUGUUCGAUUCUGCUGCUUGUGUCUUUCGUCUAAUGCUUUCUUCCCUCCUCCUUUUUUUUUUUUUCCUUUUAAGAAAUGUAAAAUUAGAGCUGCGAAUCUUGCUCGGCAAUUACCGUAUCAGUUUCCAGCUUGGGUUAGUGUUAAAAUACGCUCAUACCAACCGGCAGCUCAUUUGUGCCUGAACGAAAUGGGACGGGGGAGGUACGUGACAUCAGCCCGAAGAAAUGAAAUCUCAGCGACGUUACACGUGGGUCUGGCCAUGGGGCAUGGGCAGGGGUGGUUCUGAGGCCGUUGGAAGCAGAGAAAACUGUUUCAUUUAUGAAGUGACGGGGAUCCAUUCUUUGCUCGGUGACGAUUUGUUUGGGAGAGCAAGAGGCGCUUCUGUUCGCCUGUAUUUUGGGUAACUUCAGUCCCUGCGCGCAGUGCAGCCAUGCAGCUCAGUGCCAGAGCCGCCCGUUGGCUCUCCAGCUCCUUUCUCCCUCUAAAAUCAGCUCAGUGUAGCAGCCAGUUUCUCCUAAUUUUGUGGUAUUUAUUUCAUUUUAAAUGGUUUUUAAAGUGGAGCAGGGGAAAAACCCAUGUAAGCAGGCAGUACGAAACCUGCUGGGCAAAACUGACACUUCUAAGUGGAACAAUUACUUUUGAAGAAGUUUUCUUAAACCCCAGCAUACAGAUUCUGCGUGAAAAUAAUUAGAAUGUGAACUCAAAAUAAAGUCUGACUGUUUCUUUCCAGCAGCUUUCAGUGUGAAUUUUACCAAAGAUUUGGUCUGUAUUUCCACUUUUAAAUUUCUCUGUUUUGGAACUUGGCCGGUUUGACGCACACUGCUGCGGUCCAGAAAUGUUGUUUUCUUUUUUUCUCCCCUGCUGAAUUUCCAGGGUUUUCUGUGUGUUUUCUAGUUAUUGUAGAAGCGUAAAACGAUGGCAGAGAAGGCCUCUGCUAAUAGAAAUGCAGUCUAGCUGCUUUUGUUUCUCCCUGUGGACUGAAACUAGCAGGGGGUGACUGAGAAGGAUGCAGGAUGCUCUUCCAGGCAAAGGUGUUGCAAGGCCGUGGCGAAGCUUUGCUGUGAUUUGCUGCCCAGAACGUGCACCUGAAGUCUGGAUCUCCCCUGGGCGUUGGUUGCCAUCACCUGUGAAGUUGCUGGAAGCUCCCAGUGCUCAAACACUGGUUCCUGCCCCCUCUUUCCCCUUUGCUAGUGGACGUUGUUUCUGCUAUGGUGGGAUGAGUAGGGUUUCGCCCGCGUUAGAUGCAGGAUGAGGUUGCAUCUCGUUGUGACUGUGAGGUUUGCUUUUUCUAGAGAGGCUGUUCUGGUUUUGCUGCUUUUCUCUUGUGUUUAAAUGCCGUGAAUAUUCAGUGCAUUUAUGGCUAUCUGGGAAGACUUGGCUCAUUCAGUCUGACAUCCAAAGAGGAAUGGCCUGGCCAAGCACAGUUCCCAAUAUAACGCGUGUUUCAAUGCGUGGUGGUCUCUUCCCUGUCAAGCCAUUCGGAGACAUCAGGCAUCUGGCAAUGUGCUGAGAGACGCUUGGAAUCUGUCACUGUGGGUUUUGGAGUCUGCCACUUCAGGUGACGUUGCGUUGGGAGUGCCAAAAGCCCAUGGCAGGGGAAUGGGGCUCAUGUGUCGCAAAAUGAGGUAGCCCAUUUGGGCUUGUGGGGAGUUUGAAAGCAUACUUUUGGAUUAGAUAAAUCAGUAUUUGAAUCAAAGGAGAGGAGAGAGCGCACGGACUACAUUGGGUCUGAUAUUUUAGUGCAGUUCCUCACCACGCUGGGCAAUGCUGACCAAUAUCCAACUUUUGUUUGGAGAGAGUCUUGACCUACCCAUGGCUAGAUGCUUAGAAAGCAAACGUGAGCCAUGUGCCAUCAGACAUGGGGCCGAGGUGCCUGCCCGUUGCUGCUGGGCUCUGGGCUCCCCUCUGGUGCUCAGCUUGCUUUCUGGUCGCUGCUGGUUUUCUGCUGCUUGGCAGAGGACGAGGGCAGCUGUGCCCCUGUAUGGGGAUGCAGCAGCUCAGCCCAGCGUGAGCUGGAGAUGCUCCAUGCUCUAUGGGACAGGUGGACAUGCCCAGAGAAGCCCCUUGGACACCUUUGCCUUCUGCAGCACUUCUUACUGCAGAGCAGGCCCACAUCACGUCACUAAUUUUUUAAAUUUUAGUUUAUUUUCCUUGCUAGGCUCCCCCCCCCUUUUUUAGCCGUGGCCUCUGAUACUCUCCCCUGCCCCUUUGUUUCUCAGCUCAGCCUUUUGAAAAGAGCUGUAUUGUGUUUUCGGCGUUAAUUUGUAUUUCUUUUCCGUUGGUUGUAUUUCACUGCACUUCAUUAAGUUUUAGAGUGAAACUCGAGUCUGACAAAAUGAUGGGAAGAGCCUUGAAAUGUGUCUUCCCUCUAGGAUGGAAGAAACUAAUUGGAGGCUGCGGUGCUUCUACCUGGAUGUUUCUCGUGAAUAUUUUCCCUCGCUUAGUUGAUGAGGAGCUUACAUUUAUGCAGCAGCUUUGAUCUGAGUGCCAGACAGAGUGCACAGAGAUCUCUUCAUCUGUCACCGAGGCACAGCGGCCGCAUCCCAUUGCGCAGGCGCGCUGCAGGGUCGCCACGGGCAGGGAGUGCUGGAUGCUUCACCCGGUUUGAUGUUGCAGGGAACAGAAAGAAAGAGAAGGCAGCUACCGGAGCUGGAAACAAACCAGAGCCCCUGCAUGCAGAAUGUACCAGGAGGGCCUCUGGGACAUGAAAAUAUCACAACAUCCUCUCAAAAAUUGGUACCUUGAUUAGUGCAGUGCGGUCUCUAGCGAUAGGCAGUCAUUGCUUUAGCACCUCCCAAGAAAAAAUGCCUCCUGUGGAGCUACCUGGGGACGUCUGUGUCUAGGGAGGCUCUGCUGCAGUAGUGCUCCAUUUCGCCAGUUAGUCUAGAAGCAGAAGUUCUUGUCUGAAGAAGAAAAGCAAGCCUUUUCCAAAGCGAACUCCUCUUGUUCUUCAAAUUCGGUAAAUCGUGGCUUUCUCCCUCAAAAUGACAAGACCGUUUCUCCUUUCUGUGAAUGACAUCUUUCACUGAAAGGCCGUUUGCAGACAGGCGUGUUGCGCAGCAUCCACUGGGGUGCAAAAAUGAUUUCACUUGCUUGCUCCCCCUUUUCCCAGUCUCGUUUGGUGCAGAGAACAGCGAGCGGUGUCAGCAGAGAGGAGCACACAAUAGCAUUCGGGUAAUUAGGAUAACCAUAUGCAGUGGCAAAUGGGAAUCAUGAUAAGCAGAAUGUGAUUGUGUACCCUGGAAUUUGAACCUUAUCCAAAUACUCUGAUUCGAAUAAUCAAAUCUCCUCAAACUCUUAAAAGGCAGAUAAAUUACUAUUUCAGUAAUCUGGGUUUUUUUGUUUUUUUUUUUUUUCUGGUGCUUUGUUUAUUUGCUUUUAAUCAUUGAGGGAGAAAAUAGGGAGAGGAUGUGCUUAGACACGGAUGUUUGGGACUAAGACCCCCAUCCUUGAGCCAGGCAGUCUCCAGCACUUUAGAAGCAUCAGCCACAGUGAUCUGAAGGAGGAGAGGAAGGUGCAUGUGAAACCAGCGUUGGCUCUGGGAUCUCCUCAUGCUGUGCAGAGCCUCCUACAAGAGCGUUCAACCUGGGCUCGCUGAGCUUCCCACCAAAGCCAUGUGGCACUGCUCAGCCACAGAACAGGCCUGGGCUAAGAAAAGAAAGCAGUGUGUUUUGGAGGUCAUUUAGAGUCAUCAGCCCUUCAGCUUGUCUACCAGCAUCACUGAGCCAGCCCUGGGCCCAGCACUGAGUGUCUGUAUCCAACCCAGGGCUGCAGCUACUGACACAAAGCUCUCCGUGCUUCAGCAGUAAGUGCUUGGUUACCCUUCCCCUAGAAACUACCAGAUACUGAAAUAUAAUAUUGAGUAAAUCUUCAGAUUGCUGUAACCCUUGCUAAAAAUUCAAGCACGGACCGUUUUUGUAAUGCGUUGAAAAGUUGUGGGUUGCUUUCAAAAUAUCGUAGUUGCUCUGGAUGUCAGCUGAGCCCAGAUGAGGCUUCUUACCUUAAUUUGCAGACUCUCCAAGUCCCAGCCCGGCUCAGCCCACCUGCCAGGCUUCUAGGAGUGCUCCCUGAGCUGGAGUAAACCUUUGAACCUCUUGAGGUUCCUCACCCGAGUCCUAAUAGCAAAGUUGCAUCAAAUAAAGCUCAAUGGGCGAGCUGAUCAGAUGGAAUCACGUCAGCAUUUCCAUUGUAAAAUCUCAUCUGUCGGAGGUUUUUGAAAGUCCUCUGUGAAACGGAUCACUCUGAGCUGAAGUUUAGCAAACAAGAUUUCAGACCUCAAACCAGAACGGUAUCAUUUGUGGGUUUGGGUAUUUAUUUUUUUUCUCCGUGACUUCAGGAAAUAUAUUUGCUUCGGGAGUAUUUUCUGCUUUCCACCUCCUCCUUGGCGAGCCCUGAGGUUGCCUGCCUGGGAUCUGAACGUGAAGGUGGGUUCUUCCUUCUUCUGUAUCCUUCACGGUCAAAAAGGCUCAGAGCCAAAUCUCAGCUGAUGAUUUUGCAGCUGAUCAUAACAAAAUAGAAUUCUGCUUCCUUGAGCUCAUCGGUACUGAAGUUCCAUUGCUGCCAUCAUUGCUAUCUUGACUCAGUGUGGUCAAUAGGAGUGGUCUGCAAAUGCACACACAGUACGGUAUGGCUGCGGAGGAUUAAUGGCUGGAGCACUGUUUCUUGUGUCAUUGCUUUUUGGGGAUAUUCUACCCUCUGAAAUGCUGCUUUUCUGUGGAACGUGCAGCUUUCCAUUGCAAAAUGUUUUAAAAGAAUGGAAUAUUCCAUUGAGUCCUCGAAAAGCAGCGCUAGGUUAGAAUUCUGCCAGCAUUCCUGGGAAGCCAAGUGCAAAGUUUGGAUUCAUCCAACACAGAGUAGGGGAGGCAGGUUUCUGAGUUCUGCUGUCACCUGAAGUCCGUUGGGAGAACAUGCAGUAAAAUGAGUGAUGCUCUGCAUCCCUUCCCAGUCCAGGCUCCACCUGCACCUCAGUCUGAUGUUGUCUGGGGUCUGUGGGCUGCUGUUUACUCUGGAGAUGCAUCAGCUUAAAUAGGAAUGCAUGGCUCGGCGUGCAAGGCAGUUCUCCCCACAACUAUAUUUAAUGGGAACUUUUAUAACAUCGAUACGUAUUGUAAUUGAACAUUGUCAUUAGGUUACAUAUUUACCCUAAUUACGUAAUUAGGUAUGAUUGUGCUAAUUGAGUAAAGACGUAAUUGACUAAAAUCACCAGAAAACAAACACGGAGAGUCAUGCCACCAAAAGGAAGUGUUACAAUAGGCAGUGGUGCUGGGAAUCCCUGCUGCUCUCCUCCCGGAAGAGGAACGUUCGUGGUUCAUAGGCAGUUACCAAGCAGACAGGUGUCGUGAAGGUGCCGGGUGAUGGUAAUUAGGUGACUUCUGUUUUAAUAUUUGAUCUCAGUUCCUCAGCUCGGCUCCCCAUGGCAGUAGUAGCAGCAGAUACUCUAAUUGACGGCAUGACUGGAUGCGUGACGCUUUUUUUUUUCUCCUUGAAAUGACUGUUCCUCCGGGGGUGCAAAUACACUUUCAUCUGUCCUGGCUUCAUUGAAGUGGUGGGAACAGAAUAUCUCAUUCUGAGGCCAGGCUCUCACUGAUGGCAAAUCUCGCCCUGAUAAUCUGUGCAGCAAGCUGCGGGGGUGUCUAAAAAUUGACCAGAGGGUGAGUAUGGGACAGAAACUUCUUCAGUGUUUAAAAACACUUUAUCUUAAAGUCUCUUUGUUUUUCUCCGUAAAGCGGCUCUAAAGCAGGCAUAGGUCACGUACAGGCCCACAGAAAAGCUUGUUUAUUCCUAUCGCGUUUUUUUGGAAGGACUUUGGGUAUGUGAGAACUGGUGCAGAGGGGUGUGUAGGAACUGGGACACAAAUAUUGUCUCGGUGAGACCCCUGCCCCAUGUUGGGAUGCUGCCCCAGCAUCUUGGGGUGGGAGGAAGCCCAGCGGGGUGCAGCUCCCAGCUCCCUGCAGCGCUGGGGAGGGAGCGAGAACGCUCCUUGAGCGAGUGCCAGCACGGAGCUGACAGCUCAGGGGCUGGGAAACGUGGCAAUGAGGAGGAAGCUGAAGUUGUGAUGGAAAGGAGGCAGGGAGAGGUGGCGAGACAGGAGCAAAACAGUCCCGGUGGCAUUUGCCAACCUGAGAAAAAUUUAGGCUAUUUAGGCUCAAGGUGAGAAUAUUGCUCAUGAAUUAUUUUCUCUUACGUCUGCGAAAGGACCUUUGCUGAGCUGAGGAUGCAACUGAAACAAACCAAUUUUUCUUCCCCUUCUAUUUUGGAGUGAAUUCUUGGAGGAUGUUUUGCUCAGCGCUGCUCGUAACUGCCUGGUCUGCAAGGUGUGCCUGUGCUGGUGCCAUCGCAGUGCUGACGUUGGCAGUGAUCUCCUUCAUUAAAAUGAUUAGAUGCUGAUAACCAUUCUUUAAAAGUUUUGAAUUGUGCAAUAUCUAACAUUUAUGGCAAGGUUGAGAUGCAGGAAAGUACUUCACAGAUAAAUUGUAGAGCAAAUGAGUAGCCUAUCCCCGUGAUACUGAAAUGGUUUAGCUUGUAAGUAAGCUCUGUUAGCUGCAGAAUGUGAAACAGGACUUCUUCAAAAGUCAGAAGAGGUGACAAGCCUCCUGUGUCACAGAACUGAGUGGGAUUUGGGGCCUCCUGCCACCCUACAUGAGGUUCUCUGGAUUCCAUAGAGCUGCACGGGUUACAUCUGUGGGUAUCGUGUCUGAGGGCAGAUGCUCAGUGCGCAAAGGGGUGGAAUCGUGUCAAGGAACUGGGAUGAUUCAGGGUGCUUUGGGACAGCAGUAAAGCUCCCAGUCUGAGAGCAGGGCUGGAGAACCGUGGUGUCCUGAUCCAGAUGUGUGGCUGGAUCACUGCUCUGAGAAAUGAACUUGUUAACAGUGACUGUCCUGGUACGGUACCACACUGUGCCGUUAACUGAGAAACUGUGCUGUAUCCACAGAGCCUGACGGUUCAAAGUAAACUUUCCUGAAUACGUAGUCAUUAGAAAUUCCACUAGUACUAUCCACAGCAAGUACAUUUAAACCUUGCAGAAAUGCUCUUUUUCUUUCCAAUUUUCUUCCACGGUUGCGAGCUGAAUUCCAGCGAGUGGUAUUAUUUCUCAUCUUCCUCCUUUGCUUUCUAGGCAGGCUUUGAAUGCAGAGGUAGGGCACUGGCUUCUUCGUAAUCGGCAACGCUACUUUAUCCGAGGAAAAUAGGAGCAGCCGAGAUGCCAUCUAUUCAGCACAGCUCAGCACUCAUUCAUGAGGUCUGAUUCCAAUGUAAUCCCCUUCCAGUGCAGAGCCGCUGUGCCUGAGGAUGCAUUCACCUGAGAGCAGGAUCUCAGAGCUGAUUCAGUUCCACUGUUUGCACUAGCAUAUUUUAAGAUGCUAAUCCCUGUUUGUAAGCUGUAAUAAAUAGGCAGCAUACUGCUUUAAGCACUAGCUUGGUGGGUAAUGGGAAUGAGUCACAAAGAUAACAUCCUGGUUGUUUGACUGUGAACUAAUACAAGUGAAAAAUGUAAUGAGUUCCUUGUUAAGGGAACACUGUCUUAUUCUGACUGCUGAGGCAGGCUCAGUAUUGCAUUUCUGAAAGCAUUAAUCUGAGCAAGGAAUUGAUGCAAGGGUAAAAUGUACUUAAAUGUUUCACCCCGUUUUGCAGUUCUCCCAAUCCCACUUCUGCAGUCGUCCCUUAAAUGCUCAGCAGCCCAGAUGCAUGUUCCAGAGUCAACGCUAUGCGUGUUCAAAAAGGAAAAGGCAUGUUAGGACAAACUUCACCCCAAACCUUUCUGAGAGCUUUAGAAAAUGUAUGUGUAUGUUCUGUGCUGUAGUUUAGAUGCCUCUGCUAUGGAGGGGGAAAAAGCUUUUUUUUUUUUAGGCCAGGACCAAAAUUCCUUCUUCUGUGAAGAGUGUCCAUGAUCUCGUUUGUACCUAGCAGCAAUGACCAUGGCUUCCUGUGUCUUAUGUACCGACAUACGCAGUGCGGGAGAGUUGCGUUUGGUUUGGUGCCUUUUCACCCACAAAAAAAAAACCCCAUUUAUUACUUCUAAAUUAGAGCACUGAGAGUGCUGAGGACUUUUUUUUAUUAUUUUUUUAAUUGAACCCCUGACAUAAUGUCGGCUGUGAAGUGGUGGGUGGCUUUCAGCAUUUUUGACUGCAUGCAUCCAGGUUGAGGUAGUAGGUUGUAUAGUUUAGAAUUACACCAAGGGAGAUAACUGUACAACCUCCUAGCUUUCCUUGGGUCUUGCACAAAGCGGCGUGAUGAGCGACCAUAAUUCCUCAGCAGUGUUUGCUCUGGACACAUGGAACAGGAAAGAGCAGGUAAGAUGAGCUGGAAAAACUUUUCUUUUCUUUUGCCUCUCUAGAACUUCACAAAUGUUCGUUCUCUCAGCACUUUUUUUUUUUUUUUUUACCUGUUGGUACCACAUUAUUGAGUAUUCAGCAAAUUCAGUGGACUAGUAAUGCUUGUCUUUCUUUAUUAGCAUUCGGGCAGCACAAUGUGUUACAUUCCUAAAAAGCACCAUGAGAACAUAUCAGUGUUAUUGCCUUCAUGGUCAGCAAUCAGAAGUAUCCAAAGGUAACGUGGAAAACGUCCUGCACUGUGUCUGUUAUUGAGAUGGGCAAGUGGGUUUCCCCUGGCGUUGGCUGGUGACUGGUUGGGUUAGAUCUGCCCCAGGAGCUGAGUGAGGCUGUGCCAGCAGCAGAAUGGGAGCUGGCACUCCUUGCCUCUCAGAAAGGUGGGAGGUUGGCACUGAUGCUUCCAGAUAAAACCAGGAAGGGUUUGUGUGAAAGUACCUAAAUCUACACAGUCCCCAGGAGAGCUGUUCUUAGGGAAUCUCCAUUUAUGAUUACAGUUAGCUAACAUGAUGGGUUUCAAGGUUUUUUCCCAGGCUUUUACAAUUAAAGCAGAUGUUUCAAAGGCUGAUGCUUCUGAUCAUAUCUUGUAAAGGUGGCUUGCUUCUCCAUCAUAUCAGUUUCAUGUAGGACUGCUGUUGUGUAUAUGCUUUAGGGUGCUUUAUUUCUCUGCCCCGUAGAUCUUGUUGCAGCUGGAAGUGCACCUUUUCAACUGAUGUAAAUCCACAAACUACACUAGCCCACAUCCGACAUAGAGUUAGUGGACACCUCUCCACAAUGGUUGAUUCUUUACCUGCUUGGCAUUUUUCUAGGAAAAACAUUACAUAUUCAUGGUAAUAAUUCCCAAACAGUAACAGCCUGUUUUCCUUUUUGGUGACAGAAUUGUAGACCUGCUUCGUACAGGUAUAAGGGUACUUCAUAAGGUUCAAAAAUGAUGACUGUGUGUACUAACACACGUUCGUGGCUAUCAAUCUUAAUGCCAGAUGGAUAUGUAAAUCAAAUAAUCUAUCUGCUCUAAAGAACAAGGAAUAAUAAUGAAAAAGGAGAAUGGUCAGUGGUACAGCGGAGUUAACAAUAAACAUAAUUCAAUGGGCAUAUUUUUCUUCUGAACAAAACAGCAUUCCAGCUCUCCCCCUGAUGAGAGGAAUGUAUUGUCAAUUAAUUAGACUUCCAUCAUAUGUCCUCGGAUGCCCUUCUAUCAUAUGCCUUCCAUAUGUCCUUAUGUCAUAUGCCUUCCAUAUGCCCUCUAUGUAAUUAAGCUUCUAUCAUAUGGCUUCUAUCAUAUGCCAUUUAAGUAGAUUUCCAGGAGAAUGUGGCAGUGUUACAAUUACGGACCUUUUGCAAUGAGUAAAGGAGCAACUCAUGAGCUGUAGAUUAGAAGAGGAGGACGCAAAAGGAAGGUGUCUAGCCCUGAACAGUUCCUUUAAUUGCCAGUAUUGUUUCUCCCUGCUUGCACAGUGAACAAACAGAAGUGUCCUAAUUUCCUUCUCUUCCAUUGUUGUUCUAUUCCCACUUUUUAUUCAGUUAUGCCUAUGAACAGUAGGAGAGAUAGUAACUGUUUUUAAGAGAACGUUUCCAUUGGUAUGUAAAAUGAAAAAGAAACAGUCCACCCCCUAGAAGACUGUUUGUCCUUUAAUAAUGAAAUCCAAACUUUGAUCUGAUUUUUGUCCUUUUAAGUCUGACGUACAAAGGGAAGUACUAGAAAUAUCGUGGUGGGAGGAACUAAUGAAAAUGAGAUGGUGCGCUUCAUUUGAGCACGCAUCCCUGUUCUCCAUUAUGGGCAAUCGGUGCAAAUAGUGCUGUGCAUUUCUUGGUGUGGUGAUUGCUUAGUAGAUAGUGUAGAAGAAUACGUAAUGAAAUGGAUUCCAAAUUUACUGGGGCUUACUAAGACCCCAAGUAGGCUAUGACGGCUAUAUACAUGAUGAAGAAAAGUGUAAGCAUCCAAGGAACGAUAAGGUCUUGGAAUGGUUUCCAAUGAAAAGACAGCUAGUGUGCUCACUUGCUUCAUGUACAUUUCUGUAUCCGUGCCCUCUCCCUUCCCAACAACUUCUGAGACCGUUUUCUAUCACCAGUCAAAUUUGAUAGAGCAGCAGUGACUCCCAAGACAAUUCUGCUCCAGAAAGCUUUACAGAACUUACAGCCAUGCAUCCCGUGUAGUUGAGAGGAUGGCUGAAAGGGUGAAGAGAAGGUAAAAUACUGUGAGACACUCUGAAUUGUCCAAACUAUAAGCUGGGGAGCAGUUCGUAGUAUGUGUAGGUUACCUGGACCACCUGGAUGGAAUGAGAAGAGUUUGGACAGAUUCCCACUGACUGGUAGCCAGCAUGGCCCUGAAGAUGUCCCAUUGUGACUUCACUGCUAUUUUAUAUACUCGACACAAGAUUAAGCUGGUAUUUACCAAAGAAUUGUCCUAUAUUUUGCUAGGUAGACGUGCUGCUAGUCACUAUUCGUAAUAUAGUUUCCUCACAGGUAGGUGACAGGUCUUGUUUUGAUUCUAGGUCACUAGGGAAAUGAUUCUGAAAAUGCUUGUUGUGGUCCUGCACUGUCGUUAUUAGGAUUUGCUGGUGUCACAGUUGUAAACUGCAUACUAAGGGAUGUCUUGGAGCCUCUUAUGGCUUAGCCAUAUCUCUUUCAACACCACUGAUUGAUUUAAAGAAUAAUUAAUAAGGUGUUGUAUUCAGUAGUAAUUUUUUGUUUGCUGGGCAGCAAGGAAUCACUGGAAACAGCGCAGAUUUUCUUUUGCUUCUGUGUUUUCACACGGCUGUGAUAGUUGUGAAAGGUGCCAGCCAACAGUCAUGAAGAAGGAGGAACUUUGCUUAUCCAUAAAUAAUGGGAUUUGAUUGCAUGCAGCCCCAGAAGCAUCUUCUGAGCUGCCUUGCAGCUGUCCUUUGAGGGGGCCAACCUGUGACAGUGAGAAAUCUGGGCAGGGCUGUCUCCUGGGUCUUGAAUGCUCAUCCUUUGGAAAGGAAACUGACAUUCAAAAACUUUCACUGUUGGAGGGAUCUGUUCUUUCCUUUUUUUUUUUAUCCCUUAAACAAUGCCUUUCAUCUGCUUCCACACCCAGCUGAAACUAUGCUGCAACACUUCUGCUGCUAAAUCAGAUGCAUUAAGUACAGUCAAAUUUAUACAUAAAAGUUUUGCAAGAACAGGGAUGAAAUAGAAUGGAAUGCCAGAAUGACUCAUUGUUUAAUGAAUAAGGCCCUAAGUGUUCUAUUGAUGCCAUUUAUAAAUCUGUAUAAAAUGUAUAGAAUUCAUGUCAUAACUGGAAUUCCAAGCACAGCAACCUUGUGAGCUAAAUUAUGAUGAUGAUAGGGUACUGCACAAAUUAAUAUGAAUUCUAACACGCUUCUGCUUGAAAGCUGCUCAGACAGUUAAAAAUAAGACAAUUUCAUUACAGAGAUUCAAAGCCUGGACCUCAGAAAUGGUCUCCUCUCUCCUUUUGAAGUUGCAAAUUGCUGAAGAAGGAAGUUCAUUUUGCCUGCGUUUGAGUCACAAAGUAUAACCUAUAAGGGAAAAAUCUAUGCUUUCCAUUAGGUAUAGAUACUGAUUACAGUGCACGGUGCAACUGGAAAAUAGAAGAAUUGGGUGGUAGAGACCAGCUCCAUAUCCAGACACUCAUCUAUCUGAAAUGAACAGCUCGAGGCCAGAGCAGAGGUCUGAGCACACAUCUCUUUCUGACCACCUUUUUUCUUCUCGUUUUCACUUUCACCUUUUCAUGGAUUUGCAGCUUACAUAUGAAACCAGAUGAAGUUCAGCACUUCCAGAAUGAGUUUUCGAGAGAUUCCAGUCAGAACCAAACUCCUGGGUGCGUGGUGUUGGGCUGGCAGCAUUAAACUUUUUGACAAAAACUUCCAAGGGUUGGAAAUUUUGUAUAACCCAAAAGAUCCAAAGGUUUUAUUGAAGCGAGGGGAAUGGCUUCUUUUUUUACAUUUUUCUUUUUUGACCAAAACAGAACUUCUGGUUGCCCUGACUCCACUGAUCUCCAGGCAGUCCCAGGCGCGUAUAUUUAGCUUUAUAGAUUCAAAAUAUAAAAUGUAUUCUCCUGAAGCAAAUCAGUUUUUUACGUGCAAUAGAGUGAAAUUAGCCUCUUUGUGCAAUGUCAUGGCCCUGUUUCUUGGUUGAAUAAGUUCAAGAAUCAGGUUUCUGGGGCAGAUAGGGAAGGAUUCUGAAAUCCGAUGUUAAACAUAGUGCCUCCUUCUUACUUCCAUCUCUCCCUGCUUCCUUCCACCUUUGCAGAAAACAGUUUUGUCUCCAGUUAGGUGCUCCAACCUGCAAUCGAGAUACCACUGUGCAGUGCUACAGUGCACUGCAAAUGAGAUACCACUGGAUAAAAAUAUUCCACUUCUAAAUUGAUGGUUUAAAGGCAGGGUAAGUUUGGCCAAUAUAGGGUCCUUGAUUUCCAUUUUCCAUCUACAUUCUCUUAGGUUCCUGUGUUCAGGUAACAGAACAACUGCGUCAUGCUGCAGAGGAGCAAAUGUUGGGGUGCGGGGCUUCCCCCUGUCCCUUUCAGACCACGGAGGAUAAACCCACUCCUAGCGUGUGUCACCCCACUGCCAUUUUCCCCUUCCACCCUUUGCCAAGGUCUGGUGACAUGACUGUGAUUUCCCUAAGCUCGUCUUCGUUACAGGUGUGACACACGGCUCAUAGGGUUUCAUUAUGGCUUUCAUAAUGUAUUAAUGAAAUGUCAGGAUCAAGUCAUUUAUAAUUAACAGUGACGUGUAAAUGUCAUGUCUAACAAUUGUAGUGUGAGUGUACUUUUGUGAAUGGGCCAUUUUUUACACAUGCAACUGACAGCAUCCAAAAAAGCCUUGACCAGACAGGCAAACAUUUGGUAAAGACAGACUUUUUUUUUUUUUUUUUUUUUGCUUUUGCAUUUUCCUCCUUGAAUCCCUGAUAGGCAGUCAGACCUUGUUGCCUGUUGUUCCUAAAUCCAGUACCAAAUCAGAGCUCAAGCCAUCAAUGGAAGCUUUUUUGAGCAUUCUAGAGCUUGGUCCUGUUAUAAAUGUAGAGUGGAUACAUACAUCCCUGCACAGUAUUGACAUGAAAUUCAGCUGAAUGCUGUCUGUAUUUUUGGAACCAAAAACGGUGAGGCAUGCAGAGCAGGAGCUGUGCUACCAAGUCUAAGUAGUUCAAAAAGAUGCCAGCAAAAAUGGGCCUAAGCAUGGAGAUAUCCGAAAUCGGCAUAAUGGAACCAUUCCCAUUAGAAAGGAAAACAAAUUUACAUCAUAAUGAAAAGAAAAGAAAUAAUGAGGAGGUAGAGUGAGGAAUUCUUGUAGUCUUGCAAAGUGAGUACAAGGAGACAUGCGGUGAAAUUAAACGGUGACAAAUUGAAAAUGUUUUAAAAGGCAAUUCUUUUUCACCAGUAUUUAAUUAAAAAUGAACCUAAUUGCUUUUAGAAGUUAACGGGACCAAGAAGUUUGCGAGUCUAGACCAGGUUAGAUACUGAAAUUUUUCAUAAGCAUAUGCAGAAUUGUACGAAUUCAUGAUGAUAACUUCAGAGCUGAGUUUAGACUUCACGUUUCAAGGCUUAGAAUGAAUGAAGUGCAGCAGUUCAGGACCAGGGAGGAACCAGUGGGAAGCACAGCUCUUGAUUGUGCAGAGCCACCAGCACUUGUCACACUUGGAGCAGGUAUGUUAUAGAAGUUUGCAUUCUGCCCCAGUCUGCAUCUGUCUUUUGCAAAUUAUUAAGCACGUAGUUUGCACUGACAAAUAAGAGUGAAGGGUUGAUAGAGCAGUAUUGAUAAUAAUUACCCAACAGCAUGGUCCACCUGCAGUUCCUCACAGCUGCUGUGUGUGAUGGGGAAGCGUUGCAUGACCACUGUACAGUGAAGAAAGCAGAGGGAGGUGAAGCUGGCUUUUCCGAACGGUGCUGCCUGGAAAUCUGUGGCUCCCAGCUUGGUACAAGGUUUGGGGUCGCUCCAUUCAGUCCCUGAAUGCUGUAGGCAAACCGUCUGUGUUCCUUAACAUUAGUGAGUUUAAAUAAUUGUUGCAAGCAGAAGGUCAAACCCAUGCCCAGCUUAAUGCCCUUGAUGUGAGUGUAUUUUAAAGGGUUGUGUUUUUUUCCUCGUGUUUGAAGUGGCUUCUCAUCUCUUCUGACAAGGAAUAGCAGUUGUGGCUCAAAGAGUGGUUUGCAAUAGUGCUUUUUGUAGUCUGACAAAUGCCACAGCUUCCCCUUGGCUUUCUAUUUCCUCCCAUAAGUGAAGUUGUUAGAUUUGGAGACAGGAUCUUAAAAAAAGAAUGAGGAAGAGAGGAAGAACAGGAAGGAAAUGGGAAGGGGAGAAUGCGAGGCACAAUUGCUGUCUGCUACAGAUCUUGUGGUCUGAGUUGAUUUUGGAAAUUGCCUUCCCAAUGGCUUUUGAAAUGUGAAAGGAGAACUUAUUAUUAAGGGAACUAAGAUAUUUCAGUCACGUGUUUCCCUUCAUUUGUAUGUGAGAAUAGUUACUGAAUAAGAAAUUAAAUAGUGUAGGUUUAGUGGAAAAAAUAAAAUCAGCGUCUGCUGCUCGCUGUGUUGGUAAUGAUGCAGUUUGACUGCUGAAUCACGUCUGUUUGUAGGGUUCUACGAUGCGUGGCACCGGUCAGUGAGCUCUAACCGUAGUGCUGCAGUGCAUCCUCAAGGGCCCUGUGCUGGUGGCUGUAUUUCCUAAAGGAUUACUCAGGGCUUCACGUCAGAAUUAGAGACCUGUAGUCUCUUCUCUCUUCAAUGAAUGGGGAUGGAGGAAUAGCUUAGUUCAUGCGAAUGACAGCAGGAUUUUUUUCUUUUUCCUGUCGUGCUUUAUAAGGUGUUACAUCCUGGCUUAGACUGCAAAGCAGACGAUUCCGGUUGCCGUGCAUGUGAAUCCUGCUCUGAAUCGCGGUGGUAGAAUCAUGCCACCUGGUUAUUUUGAAGCUUUAAGAUAGCUCCCAGACAAGCUGUAGGUGAUGGGACUCCUGCCCGUCCCUGUAGCAUUGCUCAAGCAGUGCCAUGGGGCAGCGAGUCCUGGUGCGACGCACGUUUUAAUUGCGGCCUGUACGACACAGGCAUGAAACCUCUACGGCAAUUUGUCAGAGUUACGCUGAGGAGAAAAUGAAUCUCUCGUUUGUCCGGGUGUCCAAAUGAGCUUUAACAUCACCAAACAUGAGAGAAUUCACUCAUGAACUUCAGAGUUUGUCAAGCAGUCCCCUUCCUUAUCGCGAGGCCUCGCGGCCUGCCUCGCGCCGCAUUGUGUUACGCACGGACAGCGGCCUUGCGUUACGUGUGAGCGUGGGUUUGUCCUCGUAUACCCUGCUGUGGAGAAGGCCAUUUUUAAAUCUUUAAUAGGGCAUUAGAGCAAUUUGCCUGUGAUUUAGUAAUAAGUGGGCAAGGAGAGUGGUGACAAACGAAGCCGGGAGGCCCUAGAAUUCUUUGAAUAUUCCAUGUUUUCCUGGAACUGGUGGGAAAAGGCUGCCAGAAAGGUCUUGGCAGGUUUUCUAGGUGGCUGGCCAAGUCUGAAGCAAAUGUGGAUAGUUAAUAGGCUAAUGCAGCUCCGGUUCCAAGUCCAUACAUAUAUAACAUACGUUUUUAUUUAAGAAAUCCCACCGCAUGGAGGAGCAAAUGUAGUGCUAAUAUAUCUUCCUGCAAGAAAAUGACAAGGGAAAAAACACUGUCAUCUUGUAAUGAUAAAACAAAGGGUCUUCUGCCCUUGUGUUUUGGAGACUUGAAUUGUGAUUUUAACAAGAGAAGAUGUAGGAAGUAAAAUCAGUAGACAGGCAGUGGCUUUCCCAUGGGGGCCCCAUAUUAUGGGAAUGGCUUAUAUAGCAAUAGUUUGCAUCUAAGGAAGAGACAGAAGUUGUUCGAAGAAUGGAUUUCCAUUGCAAGAUUGACUCUUCAUUGUUAAAAAAUGGUAAUUAAGCAGGAAAAUGAUCAAACAAUGACGUGGGACCGGCUGCUGCAGUUGGUUGCAUGUGGACAACCCCUUCUAGCAUGAAGCUGGAAUCCCUCUGUGGGUCAGGCUGUAAAAGUUAGGUCCUGCUAAUCAACCAUCUCAGUAUAAGUUAGUUUGGGAAGGGUUCUUCUGUGUGCCAGACUCGGAAUGUUGGCUCUCUGCAGCUGCAGGCACCCAGGAGUAGGUGUUCACUAUUGUGCCUGGCAUGAGUUGCUCCUGGGAAGCAGGAGUUCAUAUUUCUCUUGGGCAUCAGGUGAAUUAGCUUUGUAAUUUUACAGUCCUCUCCAGUGUAAAGGAUUCUUGUUUGUGCUCAGCCUGUGGGGCUUGUCUUGUUUUAUUAUUAAUGGGGAGAAGACUGUGCAUAGCCUCUACCAUUACCGUGGAACGAUUUAUUUGUUUGAUUAAGCCACUGGUGCAAAUCCUGAAGUUCUGCACCGGUCUCCCUAUGGGAUCUCUGAUGAGUUGCUUAUUUUUCUUUGGUUUUGCUCGCUGUCUAUAAAAUAGAGGUCCUUCUUCCACAGAAGGAAAGACAGAGGUGCUGAUCAUAUGUGAAUUGUUCAGUCUGCCAUGUUGCAUGUCAUAUUGGAAUUGCGAGUGAGCAUACUGUAUAACUAUAUGAAGAUAGAUUUCAUAUGGACUGCCGCCAUGCUGACAUAUACAUUCAUUAGCUAUACAGCCUUAAAACUGACAAUAUUUAUAAUCGAAUGCUACUCUGAUAAGAACACAAUCAACUUGAAAAAAGGAUGAUACUACAAUUCAAAAAUCCCAUUUAAAGAAUGUAAUUUAUUAUCGUAAUAGGUCAAGUAACCUCAUAUUCAGAUUGCUCUGUUUGUUUUCCUCAUUUUCUACCUCAUACAAAUUACAAGUUGCACUGUCUCUGUGUUGUAAAAACAACUGAAUUUAAACUUAGGAUGUAACAGAGCCUGCACCGCAGUGUUCAGUGAUGCAGAAGUACAGACUGGCACCAGGAGUGGGGAGACUGGCUGCUGUGCUUGCGUCCCGCUGCUAUUUCUGGCAUGCAGACUGAGCUGUGUCUGCUGGGCCAAACGUAAGUCCUCAGAUAUUGCUGCGUCUUCCCCGCGUCCUGACAUUUGUGCUCUCUGUCACAAGCCUCCUGAUAUGUGGCCUUCUAAUUUUUAGUUCAUUCUCAACACCAGUGAAGCAGCUGAAAACAAGUUAUAGUGUGUUAAGAGCUCUGCGUCUAGUUUCACCAGAGGUAAGGGCAACAGGACUUGCAUUCAGCCUUCCUGUAUGUUCAGGUUCCCAAGCCUGUUAUUUCUCUGACAGCAGGACCUAAAUGGCUUGGCAUCCUUUAGAUGCCCUGUGAGAAGAGGGUCCCUGUCCCCAGGAGCCCACAGUCUAAACAGAUAAGGCAGGCAGGAGAGGGAACACUGAGAGAUGGAGAAACUCGCCCAAGCCACUUAGCACGUCGAGCGGCGGAGCUGGGAAUAGGAACAGACCUUGUGAAUUCUCGCCACUGUCACCACCACUGAAAAUAUUUUGGUGUUCUACCUUUUGGUUUAAUUCUUAAGCAAUAGAUGAGACAAAUAUUUUUUUGUUGGGGAGAAAUAUGCCCCCCUUGUUUAAUUUUUUUUUCAAAUUGUGGCAAGCGUAGGCUUGCCUACGUACAAGAACACCUGGAAAACAAUUUUUUGUUUAUCUUUGAAAUAAUUCCAACCUCUCUUUAAAAAGAAAGUGAUUGCUGGUGAAAAGGGCUUAGAGUGUGACAUGAGGUCUGGGGCAUAUGUAGGAUGACUAUGCUCUGAGGUUCUGCAGCUCCUUAUAACCUGACAGGGCUCUUUACACACGUUAAUUAAGGCUCAGAGUCAUUUCUUUCUCAUGUGAAAUAGAUACGUUACUUAUUUUGGUUUUAUGCAGGGAAAAAUUGGGCAUAGACUGAGGGUCCACAGUGAAUUCAUGGAGGAGAAGGAAAUAGAUCUAUGGACUGCAGCGAGCAGGCUCAGCCUUUCCAUCUCUGUGCAGUGUGACCCGUAUACUUUUUGCCUCUUGAAAUAUAAUUCAUUCUAGCUCUGCUUUCGCCUCAUGGAUUUCUAAUUUUAAUUUAAUUUUCUACUUUUCCUGCUGGGUCAGAUUCCCAAAAUGUUGCUAAACUUUGUGCCUGUUGCUGAUGUUGGAUCUGGGUUCAGUCAUUUAGAUUCUAACUGAGUAGUCUCAGUGUGCAUUACUUUUACUGACUUUCAGGGGGGAAAGGAAAAAAAAAAGAGUUGAUUAAUUAAGGGACAUCACCUUUUUCAUGCAAUGAUUCUAUUUAAGUUUCAAACAAAUUUAAAUAAAAAACAUUAAAUGUUCAUCAUAGGAUAACAGACUAAUAAAGCUCCAUCAGUUAGGAACUGAAAUAUCUGAAAAUUUGUCAGAGUUUCAGCAUGAAACCUCAGAUCUUAAGGAGUACUGCCACCAGCUCAAAACCGAUUAGAUUUAUCUGAAAUUUUAGUGAGGUUCUUGGAGCUUUGGUCAUGUUGUAAGUGAAUCGAGCCUUAUGCGAAACUUCUGGUGGACCUGAAGCCAUGUGAAAUAUGAGGGUUUUCAGGUGCUUUAUGUGAUAUGGAAAUGGCAAAUCAUGCAGGAGUAGAUGUUAAACAUUAGUGCGUGACUUCGUCCAAACACGUUUGAAUUUCAUCUCGAGUUUUGGAGUUUGGUUAAAUCCAGUGUGUGCAGAAGAACUCACAUUCGAAAGCAGAUUGUGAACUCCCCGCAGGCAAAACACGCAUAACUCCAGGUACUGCGUUCCUGCUUCUCAUGCUCUUUCUUUGAUAGUGGAUGAAUUAAUCUCUGUAACCUUUCUUUUAAAUCCCUCUGUUACAUCCACCGACCUUUUAUUGAACUCUUGCCAUUUUCCCAAACUUGGUUUUAAAUAAGGCACGGAAUGAUGCAGAAUUCCAGGACUGUUGUGCCAGGAGGUGAACAGCUCUGCCUCAUUUGGCUUUUCACUUGCUUUUCUCACCUUAGGAUAAAUUGUUUUAUGGCUUUGUCCGUAAAUAAAUAUGGCUUUGUCCAUAAAAUAAUAACCAUAUUAUUUUAAUUGUCCUCCAUUAUCUAGAGAUUGAAAGACUGUAGCUCAGUGGUCUUUGAGAAAUACGUUAGGAGAAUUGGAGUCAGAUAGAAGAAUUAUAACAGCCCCCUCUCUAGGCCGAAUCACUGCCAGGAUAGUGCUUGGAUGGGGUAAUUUGCUGUCAUAGGCCUUGUUGGGUUUGAAGGUGAGAGCUGGGGGGUGGGUUGGGUUGGGUUAAAAGGACUCACUGGGGAUGAAAUGGAAUUAUAUGACCAUCAACUGUUCUGCAUCCUCUUUGUCGACUAACAGGGUUGAGGAUAACGAGAGUAAUCUGGACAUAGCAGCUUUCUUCCAAGGACCUCAGAACCCUCUGUGGACAUGGUAAGCUUUGAUGUGAUGGUUUUAUAUAUGGGGAAGCAAGGUAGGAAGAGGUGAAAAACUGCCUUGCUGUGGAAUUGGACAAUACAGGGCAGUUCAAAUUGGAAGCCUUCAGUUGUCCAACUCCUCACUUGGCAGUUAGAGGGCUGCUGUGGCCAUGCCCAAACCAUGACACUUCCCCAACCUUGCUUUCUGUGGAUAUGCCCCACACCGUGAAUUUUGCACCUUUCCUCAAUCACUGUUAAAAUUCUUCAUUUAUAUAGGUAAAUAUUUUUUCCUCCAUUGAAGACAUCUUAUUGUUUCUUAAAAUUCUUCUCACGUAUUCUCAGACAUGCUGCCCAUGUAGCUGAGGCAGAACUGGUGUUUUUACAAAUAUUUCCUAAAUGAUGAUGGCGUGGUAAAAUUACCAAUUUUAUUUUAUUCCCUACAGGAGAAGAAAAGCCUUAAGUUGGUCUGUAGUGAAGUUACUGACUUGUCUGAAAGACACCUCAAGGUUUUAUAGUUAAUGCUUAAGUCCCUAAAGCAUCCCCUCUGGCUGAGCCUCCCUUCUCCUAUGUGUUUUCUCCUUUGAACCACUAAUUCCAAUUCAUUUCAGAAAAAAAUCGUCAUCGUUUGUCUGCGCUCUGCUUUCUGCUCCAACUGUGCACCUACCAAGGUCUGCUUUGAACCCGUGUCCAUGAUUAAAUUCAUUCUUCCUUUCUGUUUUCCAGCUUCUCUCUGCAAAAUGGCUCUCACUCCAUUUCUGUGAGAACUCUUCCCACAAACCGGGUCCCUAAGAGGAUUAGUGAAGGGGAUACCAAUUUAUUUAUACUCACCUCAGCAUGGUAGCAGCCAAACACUGUAAGUUGCUGGAUUAUUAAAUGGCCUGUAGCACAUGAAAGAAGCUUCAAUCUUCUGGUGCGGUUCAGAGUGGACAGGUGUCUGCUGCACAGCUGCUCUGAACUGAUCCCCAAUUUUGGCAAGGUUUUAUUUUUUUUCCUUUUUAACCUGCUCACACUGGUAAGAUGAACAGGUGCGCUCAGAAAUAAGUGGACCGUGGAGAUUUGGUCCCUUUUUAAAGGCAAGACCAAUUUUCAGGCCUCUUCUGGUUGUACUUAUUUCACUGGGGGGAAGGAAAAAAAGAACAAAAGAGAGGUACGGAGAGUUAGGGAAACCCCUCAAACUUUGUUUAAAUUACAAAUUCCUGGCACUCCCACUGCCAGGUGAUGCUGCCAUUUGUGUUUUCUUCUAUAGUGCCUGGCUUGCACGGUCGCAAGCAGAGUUAAACACAUGGCUAUGACCACAAGAGGAUGACACCUCUGUUUCUUUGUGCCAGCCUGGAGGCCCUUAGGUGCUGGAAUUUAAGUCUGAAAAACAAGGUUGCUGGACUCUAGUAAAUAAAGUGUCCGGAUGCUAGCGAUGAUUCAUAAAAGCAAUUAAAAAAGGAAAGUGCUUUGCCACUGAGCGUAAUGUCUUGAAGAUGUCCUGAAGUGUGUGUAAUGCUGCAGACAGUGGUCAGUGGGUAGUGACCGCUGUGCUUAAGAUUACCAAUCUGUUUCCAGCAUAACUCUUCAAUUGGUUCUGGUGAUCAAAACUUUUCAUUUUUUGGUAGCUGAAUCUUCCUUAUUUAGCCAUCGUUUCAACAUAGUUCCCAUCCCUUCCUUCUUAAAUCUGUGAAGAACAUCUACUGAGAAUGUAAUAUUUUCCGUGGCAGAAAUAUGUUGUUUGAAAUUUAAAUACCGGACAUGACAAAUAAUUGAAAUUCAUCAAACAAGAUUUGGUUGUGGGGUCGGGUUUUUUUUUUCAGUGCUACCCACUUGCCUUGCAGCCCCGACCUUCCACAAGGCACAGACCACCCCACUUGUACAGCUUUCAAAGCCAUUUGCAAUAAGCAAGACCGAACUCUGUUACAACACGAUUGGGAUUCUUGCUGUGUGCAGAGAUACCCAGCACGGCCUCGUUGCCUAAGCGAGAGGUGGGCAUGCUCUGCAAGCAUCUCCCUGCAUGGCUUUUCCAGUCCUUGACUAACCUGUGAGCUCCCAGCCAUGCUGCUAGCUCUGCUGCUGCUGUUCUAGGGUAGAUGCUGCCCAUUGUGUUGACUCCUUCAGGUGGAUGCCUCUUGCUUCCCUUGGUGUCUGUGCGUGCUCUGGAGCUGGGGCUUGGCUUUGCUGUGCCCUUCAUUAGACCGGGCGUAUAUGCUAAGGGAAGCAAAAUAGUUUACUGAUUUAUCAUGGAUCAUUAGAUGGAGUAACUGUUCUUAAAACAUCACCAGUAUAGAUACAAUAAUUAGAGAUGUGCUUUUGUUAACAUUGCCAGCCUCUACCCUCUUGUACAGUACCCUUGGGUACUAAAUAAUUACCCACUUUGUGUGGUUAUCUAGCUCACUAAUUACCCACAAAAAUUGGGGUCAGGUGUUAACUGCUUGAAAUAAGUAUCCUCCAAAGACUCGGCUAAAUUGUGUAAAGAAAUUAUGUGUUUGCAGCAAAACUUUAAAAAAAAAAAAAAAAGCAAACUUUUUUUGUUGCUGUUGGAAAGGAGA
This is an RNA transcript of Numida meleagris (helmeted guineafowl), 24895 nucleotides long. RefSeq lists it as uncharacterized. Lineage: Eukaryota; Metazoa; Chordata; Aves; Galliformes; Numididae. The transcript is spliced from 8 exons. The record is from RefSeq and is a predicted model, not a curated record.